UCUUCUCUUGCUGUACAGAGGCACCCACCUCCCCAUUUCCUCCAAGAGUGAUCAUGUGUCAUGAAGUUGCAUCACUCCCAGGGAGUCUGUUGCCAUAGUUUCAUUGUUUUCAUCAUAAUGGUGGCAGGAGCCCCUUCAGUUACUUGGCCAGUUGUAGGCAGCUGCAAUUAUUUUAAAAUGGGGGGGAAAAGCAAGAGGAGACGGGCAUCCCUUGGACUACCCCAUAUGGAAUCCACAAUGUUACCAGGGGAUUUGGCACAUUUCCAGGCAGGAACUCAAUCCAAUCAGCACAUUUGGCAGAUCUGCAUAUUUACAGCUCUAUGAAACAGUUUCAUUCAGGUCAGUGACCUAUUGGCCUCUGAAAAAUGAAAAGGUCUUCUAACAUUUAUUCCUGUCUGCCAAAAAACCCCAUAUCUUUCAUUGCUAUCAUCUGCACCAAUGUUAUAAUCUGUUCUCAACUCUUUUUACACUGUGGCAUUUUUUUAUUUUUUUAUUUACAGUUCAGGCUAAUUUUUUAAUGUUAUUACUUUCAAAUUUGGAAAGCUGAAACAUGUAAUUAAGACAGCAUCAUUCUGAAAUGCCGCUUCCUGUUCAUUAUAUGUGCAGCUGCAAAUUUGAUGAAUGUCAAGGAAAUAUGCCAUCUGAAAGAUCGGUGCUGGAAUUUAGAGAAAUACAUAAAAUAGCAAUCCUCAAGGUUUUCAAGUGGGAUUUUUUGUGAUUUUGUGUUUGGGACUGUCAGCAAUGGAACUAACCUUAGAGCAGUAGCAAAGCAGAGGAGCUGACUAUUGAAAGCACCUGAUUGGGAAAAUAGGGGAGAAUGCUGAACAUGAGCCCAGGCCACAGAUUUCUAGAAUAAGUGAACAAAGUUGUAGUAGUUGUAGUUCAUAUGGUCAGUUGUGAUACUCAUCUAAUAGACAGGUGUGGCUAUAAACCAGUGUAUUCAGGAUGCAUGCAGCACAUAUAUGUAAAUACCUACAAACACCUUUUUUCCAACUUGGAAAAUAUCACAGUAAUCAAGCCUACACACUAUGGACUAUGCAUUCAUCAGCUGCCAUACAAUAUGAUCUUACAUAAGCAUGGGGCACUUGCUCCAGUCUUGCAAAAAUAAUUUCUGCCCAGCUAAAUAUGUGAAGCAGUCUUAAGGUGUAUCAGUUAUAAACUGCCCAACUCCACAGAAUGAUUUCCCAAGAACCAUAAUUUCAAUAAUGGGAAUAUUUAUCUAGAUUUUUUCCCCUUCCCGAUAAUAGUCUCUGACAUUUCCCAUACACUAUUGCUCAUAUCUCCCUGUUCUUGCACAGUUUGACUGUGUUAACAGGGGGAUUUUGAGUAUGGAGGAAACUAUACGUAUAAGCUCUUUUGACAACUGUCUCCUUGCUGCCAGGGUUGUUUCUGGAAGACUGCACUCAAGAAUUAUCAAUGCAUAAAGCAGAGCAAAUUAAAAUGAUUAGAAGAAAGACCUGACAUUGAUCAGCUGGGAGGAUGUACAGUAAUUGGUGGUGGUGAGUUAGAAUGAAAGAAGAAAGAUUCAAACAAUUAGAGAGAUUGAAUAUAUUGUGCUGCCAAAGUUGGGGGGAGGGGAACAACUCCAAACAGAAGGAACUGCAUUUAUCAGUACCAAAUGCAUGGUGAGAUCUAUGAAAGCUAAGACUGCUAGAGACAGAUUCAGGCUCUAGUGAGUCAUCAUGAAAGAAAGAAAGGAAAUAAUAGAGAUAGACACUAAGGAUGACCAGUGGUGCUAGAAGUGCACUGAGUUCUGCAAGAUUUUGAAGCAGGGAAAUCAAGCAUAAAAACCACCCUGAGAUCUAUGAAUGGAGGGUGGUAUUAAAAAAUAAAUAAAUAAAUAAAUAAAUAAACAAACACAAAAAUGAAUAACAGGCAAAUGCAAUGUUUCCUCCCCACCCCACUUCAAAGUCUCUUUUAUUUAAAGAGAAAAUGUAUUUUAUGCAUCACUAAUGGUUUUCCCAGUAGUGAUGUAUGGAAGUGAGAGCUGGACCAUAAAGAAGGCUAAUCGCCAAAGAAUUGAUGCUUUUGAAUUAUGGUGCUGGAAGAGACUCUUGAGAGUCCCAUGGACUGCAAGAAGAUCAAACCUCUCCAUUCUUAAGGGAAUCAGCCCUGAGUGCUCACUGGAAGGACAGAUCGUGAAGCUGAGGCUCCAAUACUUUGGCCACCUCAUGAGAAGAAGACUCCCUGGAAAAGACCCUGAUGUUGGGAAAGAUGGAGGGCACAAGGAGAAGGGGACGACAGAGGACGAGAUGGUUGGACAGUGUUCUCGAAGCUACCAGCAUGAGUUUGACCAAACUGUGGGAGGCAGUGGAAGACAGAAGUGCCUGGUGUGCUCUGGUCCAUGGGGUCAUGAAGAGUCGAACACGACUAAACGACUAAACAACAACAACAACAAAAGCUGAAAAGAAGUCAAAAUUCAUUUUAGAUCAGGACAGGACUGUGAAUAUAGUUACCAGUUGCAAAGACAGCAACAAACAAAGAACAACACAAAGUGCUCCUGCACCUCCAAUAGUUGUGUAGAAGAUGGAAUUUCAGACCCUGGAUGGAAUUCUAAUGAAAUUAUUAGAGAAAUUAUUUUUUUUUGCACCUGGCCACCAUAGUGAAGAACGAUAGAUGGGACCAAAUAUAGUCCUUGGUAAAUAGCGUCUAAACAAGAAAACCCCUAGCAUUCAACUAAUAAUGGCCCAAGUUGCUGACCCUCUGUUAUUUUUAGAGGGAUUUUGCCCCUGAGAUCUUUUGCAGAAUUUACUCCAAAUAUUCUCCACCAUUCCCCACCCCGCCUCCCUACAGUGCCUGGAUUCCAACAUCUGGAGCCUGGAAAAUGUUGGUCAGACUACCAGCUCUGAUGCUGCUUAUGGAAAAAGGAAGAAGUUGUCUGAUUGUGACCACUAAUGGUGAGCCCCACCCACAAGAAACUGUGGGAUGAAACUGUUGAACAAUUCCUUCCUCCCUUGGAGAAAUUGGUGCUCUUCCGGUCUACCUCCUCAACUGAGGUUGAAAACAGUUUUCACUCUGUCAGUAUCACUUGGGACUCAAGCCAGGAGUCUCCUGAUCUGUGUACUGCUACACUUCAUGAUGAGUCAAAUGUCUAUGGAGCAGGUGAGAACAUUAUUGUCCAAAUAGGCCACUGUGUGGUUCUCCACCCUGCUCUCAGUCUGCCUCUGGAAGAAGCUGAUUUAAUCUCCUCCUUACCUGGGUAUGAAUAAUUCUAGUUCAGGUAGAAGAUGCUACAGCCUUGUGUGGUUCCUAAAGUCUCUUUCUGGAUGUGUCUUUUUGUCAUCCUGCCUGCCUGCCUUUUUAUCUUCUAGUUUCUGCCUCACAACCAUGAUUCUGACUUCCUUGUCCAUCUAUCUGCCUCCCUUUUAAAUUCUUGUUCAAUUCUUCUUUAGAUGGACCUCUUGGUUUGGAUACUGGCCUUUGAUUGACUCUGCCUCCACAGACUGAUCCAUCACCCCUAUUCUGCACUUAUGGGACCAUGCUUCCUAAAAUCCUAUGUUCCCAGGCCUUUCUAUGGGAUGUGUCCCAGUGCUCCCUUCCAAUUCUGACAUACAUUUAUGUGUAUCGUGCAGCCAUGAGAAGAAGCUCCUGUGAACAUCUGAAAGAGAUAAAUACAAGGCUCUGUGCUUAUACUGGAGCCACAAACACACAGGGAUGAAAUCCCCUUCGCUGCUCGAGCAAGUUAAGGAGGUGAUGAUUAGGUGGGCUUUGGAUAUAGGGGAAAUUAUUAAUUUAUCAGCAUGGGAGGAAUUAUGGGAAAAGAAUUGGAAAUUUACAGCCUGUGAAACAUUAAGAGAAAAUCUAAGCAAUAUCUUUUAUAGAUAGUAUUUAACACCGGCCGAAAUAGCUAAAUGUAUAAAACGAAAACAAAUUUGUGUUGGAGGUGUAAGAAUGCAGAGGGGUCACUCAUACAUAUUUGGUGGACCUGUGAUAAAAUCGAAAGUUUCUGGGAUAUAGUGUAUGAUGAAUUUUUUUAAAAAAAUUAAAUACAACUUUGUGAAAAAUACAGAAGCUUUCCUACUAGGGAUAACAGAUAAAGAUAUACAUAUAGCAAAAGAAAAUCAAAAAGUAUUUCUCUAUGCCACAGGUGUGGCAAGGAACUUAAUUGUCAGAAAUUGGAAGAAAGAAAUCACGCCAACAAAAAAGGAAUGGCAGGAUAAACUAUUAGAUUAUAUUGAAUUGGCCAGACUAACAGAGGCAAUCAGGGGCCACCCCAGACAAGAAUUUCAAAAACGGGGAUAAUGUAGAGAAUAUUUUAUCAAGCAGUGCCCCCAAAUAACCACCUGGACUUGUUUCGAUUAGUUCCUACAGGAGGAUUUAUGGUUCUUAAGUUACAAUUUAAAAUAGCCAGUAAUAAUUAUCUAUACCGGAAACAGUUUAUAAGAAGUAAAUAAGGAAGCCGUGUACAGGAUAAAGGAAGUCUUUCAUUUCUUUGUUAUGUUUUUUCUUUGUUGUAAGUGUAUUGUUGUUAAGUUUGUUUCGUUUUAGAUGUUAUGGUGGUAAUUUAUUUGUUUUCGUUGUUGUAGUGAAUUUGUGUUGUAAAUAACUUCAAUAAAAUUUAUUUUUUUAAAAAAGAAAAGAAAACCCCUUCCCUAACUGCCCAGGAGAAAGUACAACGUGAAAGAAAUGACAGGUGUACUUGAACGGUCUCCCUUUGGUUGGCAGGUGACAGACUGUGCCUUGAAGGCCCUGUUUUUACACAGAGUGCAGCAGUUUCAGGCUGCAAUUCAUCAAAAUUGACCCGUUAAGGAAGGAACUGUAAGAAAUACUUAGCAAUACUAGUAAGGUUAAUUGUGGCAGCCAGCACUUAUUAGGCUCAAGUGUGUUGCCGAAAUGCCACUCAUACAGGUGCAGGCUUGACUGACACCAUUUGUGAAAUAAUGGGGAGCAAGAGGGGUAAUCAGGUCUUACACGUAGGAUAAAUCGGCCGUUUAGUAGCAAACCCCCUGAGAAACACAGUUUCACCUGACCUGUAUUUGCAAUCCAGUCUGCACUACAAAGAGCAUGCCUGGCACUCUGUUUCUGAAACUCAGCUACAGAAAUGCCACACUAUUUGUAGACUGCAGCAAAAGAUGCACGCUUGCUAUAUCCUAUAUCUGACAAGUAAGUGACUAAAAUGGACCCAUACGAAAAUAUGCCAUUCAACAGCUACUUAAGAGACGUGAUGCCUCACCAUCUCAUGAGAAAUUUCACGACACCUAUCUAAAACUCUUUUAGUUUCCUCAGCUGCUUUGGGUGAGUGAGGAGGGACCCACAAAUAUACCGUAUUUUUCGCCCUAUAAGACGCACCAGACCACAAGACGCACCUAGUUUUUGGAGGAGGAAAACAAGAAAAAAAAUAUUCUGAAUCUCAGAAGCCAGAACAGCAAGAGGGAUCGCUGCGCUUGCUGUUCUGGCUUCUGUGAUAGCUGCGCAGCCUGCAUUCGCUCCAUAAGACGCACACACAUUUCCCCUUACUUUUUAGGAGGGAAAAAGUGAGUCCUAUAGAGCAAAAAAUACGGUACUUAAAAGUAUAUGCGUGAAUGCAGCUUGUGUGUGAGGCACUAACUUGCAACAUCUGACUCCGCUUCAGACAAGCAUUUGAACCCUGGACAGUUCACAGACAUACAUCUAGACUCCUGUAGGGUUGCAGAAAAAAGCAGCUGAAAAGAGCUUCAGGAGCACAUACAAAUAUUGGCGGCGACAAUAUGGUUAAUUUACACAACCAUCUCUCACAGGGCCUUUGCUCAAAAUAACCCCGAAACCUGUUUUUCCCUUUUUUAAAAAAAGACAGCACCAAGGAGCUUCAUGGCAUAUAUUUACCUAUAGUAUGUUAUUUGCCCUCCAGUGUGAGUAAAACGUAUUUGCUGGUAUAUACUUUUGGACAUUAAUGAUGUUUGUCAUUGCCAAGCUUUAUAUAACAACCGUAGCAUUCAUAUGAGGGUUAUUCUCCCCUGUUCUUGAGUUGAUUUAGACCUUGCAUACAAACUCUUUAUCACCAUGCACGCUGAAUGGAAUGACUUUUUUUUAACAACAGCAAACAGUAAAAAUAUUAUUACGUUUCUAAAUCUUUAACCGCCAGCUAUUUUGGAUAACAUACGCAUUUAGAAAUUGUCCUAAUCUUACUGACCUGUCCUAUAUAAAAGAAUAAAAGGAGAUGCUGCCCUCUUCUAAAAGACAUGCAUUAGUACCUUUCAAGCACUAAAGCACAAUUGUGGUUGUUAUUUUUUUUAAAAAAAAUAAUAUUUAUUAGUAGUUUCAAAGUUGUAAAGAAAAAAGAAAAAUUAAAAAACAACACUAUAAUACAUAGGAAAAAAAGAAAGAAAAAAACACAAAAACCAAUACAACAAUACAACAAAAAGAUAAAAAGGAAAACAAAAGAAAAAAGAAAACAACAUAGAUCCCAAAUUACAUAUCUAUAACUUCCAUUUGCUUGUUUCAUUGACCUCCUCACACCUCCCUUUUUGUAUUCUAGUUUAAUUAGUUAUUUCAGCAAAUUCUUUCCAUCUUUCUCAAUUUUUGUUUAAAAAUUUAUCUUGACAGUUUAACUUAAUAAUUAGCUCAGCAAAUCCUUACCAUCUUUCCCCAUAUUCUGUUAUUCAAAUUACCUUAAUUUAUUUAACCUUAUCUUACCCUAAAAUACCUUAAAGCUUGAAUCUUAGUUUUCAAAUAUACAUAACUCCUGAUAUCAUUUCUGCUAGAGUCAUAUAGUUUCAUUCCAACAUUUUCCCUAAUAUUCAUUAAUUUUAAGCUAAUUCCCUAAAUAAAGUUUUCUUUAUAAAUUUUCUUCCAAUCUUCAUCCAACGUCUCAUCUUCCUGGUCUCGGAUCGUGUCAGUCCUUACUGUCCAAUCCAUCUAGUCCAUCAACCUGGAAGCCUUAUGUCCGAGGCCCUUAAGUCUCUUCCAUGGCCCUUCUGCAUUUCUUCUUCUUGUUGUUUAUACUUGCCCUUUUCCUUGUCUUUUGUUGGUCUCUUUCUUAAUUCCUUUCCUUUCUCAUUGAGGAGUAGUUCUCUGGGGGAUUCCAACCCAGAAUUGUCUCCAUCUCUCUUCCUCAAACCCAUCCAUUCCCCAAAGUCCCACUCCCCACAGUCCUCGAUAAAAUCCAAAAAGUAUUUAAAAACAUAUUUCAAGGUCUCUCCAAAGUUAGGAACCUCCUCAGCACCAGACUCCCCCUGGCCCAUUCCAACUUCAAUCUUCAGUGACAGCGGCUUAUGCUCCUGUAGGGCCUCAGGUCUCUCCAUUUGUAUUAUUUGAGGUGCAACCGCAUCCUCCUCCAUUAUCUUCUGUUCUUGUCCAGUCAGUACAGAUUCAUGAGUUGGUCCCUGAAUAGUUUCUAUAUCAAUGUUCCCUGUUUGUCCACAGUUAUUAACCACAACAGUCAAAUCCAUUUUUUCAUUCAUCAAGUCCAUCUUCUCAUGCAUCUGUUCCAACAGGGCACUUGUCUUGCAUAAGGCAAGCACCCAAUCUUCCUCCCAGCACAUCUUUAGGCAAGGUCAGAAAAGACUGUUCCCACGGUCUUAAUCUCACAGCUGUUGAGUCCUCAAGUAUACUGUGGCAACAAUUUAACAAGCUCCCUCUAGAGGAGACAAUUUCUAUUUGUAUCCAUUUUUUUUUUAAGGCAAGUCCAACAAAGGAAAAUUACUUUCAUUUUUCAGAUAUUUUUCAGAUAUUUUGUUUCUUUAAGAUGCAAAAGGCAACAUUGGAAUCAGCUUGUUUCUCUUCUUUAACUAUCUGUCAAAAUAUUCCAUUCACAGUCAAUGAACCUACAAUUUCUGUCUCUGACACCCCGUUCCCAGGUUAGAGACGGUGGAAACUUAUCCUUCUCACUCCCUCUCCUGCAGGGGUUAAACAACCCCCCCUUUUCUCCUGCUUCCAAGGGGGUUUCAGUAAUUCUGAAUGAAGGAAAUUUAGCCUUUUCUUUACAGCUUUCCAGGCGUUAGCAUACGAAGGUUUUGCUUUAGUCUAUAUACAAAAAGCGGAAGGCGGACUUCCUGUUUUGAACCUUCCCGCUUCGAUGCCAAAUUAAGAUAUUUCUUGAUCCAAUUUUCCGUUUCUACUCACGGGUACUUGUUUUAAAUCCAAUUGUCCACAGGAAAAAGUCAGCGCUCUCCGGCAAUGGCUGUGCGGCUUCACUCCGUGAAAGUAGCAGUCAGUUCGCAGCACCGCGCCGCUCACCCCGCUUUGAUCUGGUGCCCCAAAAAGGGGUUCCCGUUGAGUAGGGGGGCGUUUCUGGUGCCCUGCCAAACCCCACGUUCCCAGGCUUCCUCCACCUGGGAUUUCUAGCGGGUCCCCACCUUCGCCGCGGCGGGAAGACCCAGUUUCCACGGAGCCCAUUCCUCCGGUCGGAGGAACUCCGCCAUUCACCGAUGGCGCUGACCCGGAAGUCCCACAAUUGUGGUUGUUAUGAGCAUUGCAAAAUGUCAUCCAGCAGUGCUAUCCCUCUGUAGGGCUAGGGAAACACAUUGGGUUUCCUUCCAAUAGUGACAGAAGACAAUUGGGUCUGCUUCAGUGACUGCCACCUUUUUCUUUUAUAGUUCUGUGCAAAGAACUAUACAUAGCUACUUGCUUGUGACAAGAAAUAAGAGCUUCCAGGUGAUCAGGAAGCUUUACCAAACUGAAGCUGAGGGUAGCUGCACCAGUUGAAUUUCUACCUAUUAUGCAGGCAUUAGAGACAUGGAUUCUCUGUCAGGAAACGAGACAAAAAAAGUCAAAUAUAUUUGUUUUUAUAGAUUCAAUGAUUGAAUUAAUUCAAGUUUAUUUAUUUAAUUAAAUUAAAUUAAAUUAAUUGAAGUCCUGGAUUUUUAAGUAAGGACUCUUGUGAAUGGACUCAACACCCCCUCCAAAUAUAUAAUAGCAUAGUUACUAUCUUAACUAUGCAGAAGAGGAGUUUAUAAUUCACCACCACUCAACUGUGGUCUAAUAAAUGCCACAUAAAAUGAGCCAGUCCUAUGAUUCCCUACCUCUAUAAACAAAUAUUGUUUUAGGAAAGGAAUUCUGUAUCAUUAAUUUGUGCAAAACAUUUGAUUCCCAAUAACUUACAAAGGAUCUCAGAGUAACACCUUUCUGUUAAUAUUUACAGGAAACUAAGCCAGAUCAGGAAACUAAGGACAGAUCGUGAAGCUGAGGCUCCAAUACUUUGACCACCUCAUGAGAAGAGAAGACUGCCUGGAAAAGACCCUGAUGUUGGGAAAGAUGGAGGGCACAAGGAGAAGGGGACAACAGAGGACGAGAUGGUUGGACAGUGUUCUCGAAGCUACCAGCAUGAGUUUGACCAAACUGUGGGAGGCAGUGGAAGACAGAAGUGCCUGGCGUGCUCUGGUCCAUGGGGUCACGAAGAGUCGGACACGACUAAACAACAACAAAAAGCCUCAUCAAACCCUGAAGGGCUUGCUUCCAAGUAAAUGUGCAUAGGAUCAGGCUCCAAGUCCAAAUAAAAACUAGGCAUCACCACUGCAGGGGUGUAACUUGCAUAUUCCUGCAACCACAACAUGUCACAGUAUCAAUUUAC
RNAcentral lists this long non-coding RNA (9487 nucleotides) under Podarcis lilfordi (Lilford's wall lizard). The record is from RNAcentral. Lineage: Eukaryota; Metazoa; Chordata; Lepidosauria; Squamata; Lacertidae.